CCUACGGGAGGUAGCAGUGGGGAAUCUUGGACAAUGGGGGCAACCCUGAUCCAGCCAUGCCGCGUGUGUGAAGAAGGCCCUAGGGUUGUAAAGCACUUUCAGCAGGGAGGAAGGCUUGAGGUUAAUACCCUUGAGUACUUGACGUUACCUGCAGAAGAAGUACCGGCUAAUUUCGUGCCAGCAGCCGCGGUAAU
Molecule: ribosomal RNA, 194 nt
Filed under: uncultured bacterium
Lineage: Bacteria
Description: partial 16S ribosomal RNA
Rfam family: Bacterial small subunit ribosomal RNA
Source: RNAcentral